This 625-nucleotide ribosomal RNA is filed under the name Colletotrichum aeschynomenes. RNAcentral describes it as "partial 28S ribosomal RNA". It matches the Rfam family "Eukaryotic large subunit ribosomal RNA", at positions 1 to 648 of the family's 3401-position model. Lineage: Eukaryota; Fungi; Ascomycota; Sordariomycetes; Glomerellales; Glomerellaceae. The record is from RNAcentral.
GUUGACCUCGGAUCAGGUAGGAAUACCCGCUGAACUUAAGCAUAUCAAUAAGCGGAGGAAAAGAAACCAACAGGGAUUGCCUCAGUAACGGCGAGUGAAGCGGCAACAGCUCAAAUUUGAAAUCUGGCCCUAGGCCCGAGUUGUAAUUUGCAGAGGAUGCUUUGGGUGCGGUGCCUUCCAAGUUCCCUAGAACGGGACGCCAGAGAGGGUGAGAGCCCCGUACAGUUGGACACCAAGCCUUUGUAAAGCUCCUUCGACGAGUCGAGUAGUUUGGGAAUGCUGCUCAAAAUGGGAGGUAUAUUUCUUCUAAAGCUAAAUACCGGCCAGAGACCGAUAGCGCACAAGUAGAGUGAUCGAAAGAUGAAAAGCACUUUGAAAAGAGGGUUAAACAGCACGUGAAAUUGUUAAAAGGGAAGCGCUUGUGACCAGACUUGCGUCCGGUGAAUCACCCAGCUCUCGCGGCUGGGGCACUUCGCCGGCUCAGGCCAGCAUCAGCUCGCUGUCGGGGACAAAAGCUUCAGGAACGUAGCUCUCUUCGGGGAGUGUUAUAGCCUGUUGCAUAAUACCCUUCGGCGGGCUGAGGUACGCGCUCCGCAAGGAUGCUGGCAUAAUGGUCAUCAGCGAC